AGACCCGAAACCCGGUGAUCUAGCCAUGGGCAGGUUGAAGGUUGGGUAACACUAACUGGAGGACCGAACCGACUAAUGUUGAAAAAUUAGCGGAUGACCUGUGGCUGGGGGUGAAAGGCCAAUCAAACCGGGAGAUAGCUGGUUCUCCCCGAAAGCUAUUUAGGUAGCGCCUCGUGAAUUCAUCUCCGGGGGUAGAGCACUGUUUCGGCUAGGGGGCCAUCCCGGCUUACCAACCCGAUGCAAACUGCGAAUACCGGAGAAUGUUAUCACGGGAGACACACGGCGGGUGCUAACGUCCGUCGUGAAGAGGGAAACAACCCAGACCGCCAGCUAAGGUCCCAAAGUCAUGGUUAAGUGGGAAACGAUGUGGGAAGGCCCAGACAGCCAGGAUGUUGGCUUAGAAGCAGCCAUCAUUUAAAGAAAGCGUAAUAGCUCACUGGUCGAGUCGGCCUGCGCGGAAGAUGUAACGGGGCUAAACCAUGCACCGAAGCUGCGGCAGCGAACGUAUCACCCAAGACAACUUUACGGAGUUGACGAUUGACGGAGCGAAGCGACGUCAAAGCGUUCAUUAAAGUCGAGUUGGCUUAGGGAUACGUUCGUUGGGUAGGGGAGCGUUCUGUAAGCCUGUGAAGGUGUGUCGUGAGGCAUGCUGGAGGUAUCAGAAGUGCGAAUGCUGACAUAAGUAACGAUAAAGCGGGUGAAAAGCCCGCUCGCCGGAAGACCAAGGGUUCCUGUCCAACGUUAAUCGGGGCAGGGUGAGUCGACCCCUAAGGCGAGGCCGAAAGGCGUAGUCGAUGGGAAACGGGUUAAUAUUCCCGUACUUGGUGUUACUGCGAAGGGGGGACGGAGAAGGCUAUGUUGGCCGGGCGACGGUUGUCCCGGUUUAAGGGUGUAGGUGUGUGUUCCAGGUAAAUCCGGUUCACUUUAACACUGAGGCGUGACGACGAGGCACUACGGUGCUGAAGCAACAAAUGCCCUGCUUCCAGGAAAAGCCUCUAAGCAUCAGGUAACAUCAAAUCGUACCCCAAACCGACACAGGUGGUCAGGUAGAGAAUACCAAGGCGCUUGAGAGAACUCGGGUGAAGGAACUAGGCAAAAUGGUGCCGUAACUUCGGGAGAAGGCACGCUGACACGUAGGUGAAGUGAUUUACUCAUGGAGCUGAAGUCAGUCGAAGAUACCAGCUGGCUGCAACUGUUUAUUAAAAACACAGCACUGUGCAAACACGAAAGUGGACGUAUACGGUGUGACGCCUGCCCGGUGCCGGAAGGUUAAUUGAUGGGGUCAGCGUAAGCGAAGCUCCUGAUCGAAGCCCCGGUAAACGGCGGCCGUAACUAUAACGGUCCUAAGGUAGCGAAAUUCCUUGUCGGGUAAGUUCCGACCUGCACGAAUGGCGUAAUGAUGGCCAGGCUGUCUCCACCCGAGACUCAGUGAAAUUGAACUCGCUGUGAAGAUGCAGUGUACCCGCGGCAAGACGGAAAGACCCCGUGAACCUUUACUAUAGCUUGACACUGAACAUUGAGCCUUGAUGUGUAGGAUAGGUGGGAGGCUUUGAAGUGUGGACGCCAGUCUGCAUGGAGCCGACCUUGAAAUACCACCCUUUAAUGUUUGAUGUUCUAACGUGGACCCGUAAUCCGGGUUGCGGACAGUGUCUGGUGGGUAGUUUGACUGGGGCGGUCUCCUCCUAAAGAGUAACGGAGGAGCACGAAGGUUGGCUAAUCCUGGUCGGACAUCAGGAGGUUAGUGCAAUGGCAUAAGCCAGCUUGACUGCGAGCGUGACGGCGCGAGCAGGUGCGAAAGCAGGUCAUAGUGAUCCGGUGGUUCUGAAUGGAAGGGCCAUCGCUCAACGGAUAAAAGGUACUCCGGGGAUAACAGGCUGAUACCGCCCAAGAGUUCAUAUCGACGGCGGUGUUUGGCACCUCGAUGUCGGCUCAUCACAUCCUGGGGCUGAAGUAGGUCCCAAGGGUAUGGCUGUUCGCCAUUUAAAGUGGUACGCGAGCUGGGUUUAGAACGUCGUGAGACAGUUCGGUCCCUAUCUGCCGUGGGCGCUGGAGAACUGAGGGGGGCUGCUCCUAGUACGAGAGGACCGGAGUGGACGCAUCACUGGUGUUCGGGUUGUCAUGCCAAUGGCACUGCCCGGUAGCUAAAUGCGGAAGAGAUAAGUGCUGAAAGCAUCUAAGCACGAAACUUGCCCCGAGAUGAGUUCUCCCUGAGACUUAGAGUCUCCUGAAGGAACGUUGAAGACGACGACGUUGAUAGGCCGGGUGUGUAAGCGCAGCGAUGCGUUGAGCUAACCGGUACUAAUGAACCGUGAGGCUUAACCUU
Molecule: ribosomal RNA, 2323 nt
Filed under: Salmonella enterica subsp. enterica serovar Typhimurium
Lineage: Bacteria; Pseudomonadati; Pseudomonadota; Gammaproteobacteria; Enterobacterales; Enterobacteriaceae
Description: partial 23S ribosomal RNA
Rfam family: Bacterial large subunit ribosomal RNA
Source: RNAcentral